This 25-nucleotide microRNA is filed under the name Homo sapiens (human). RNAcentral's name for it is "hsa-miR-1273d". Lineage: Eukaryota; Metazoa; Chordata; Mammalia; Primates; Hominidae. The record is from RNAcentral.
GAACCCAUGAGGUUGAGGCUGCAGU